UCAAACCCCCUCUCUCCCCGUCUCCCCGUCUACCCCUCUCACCCUCUCACCCUCUCACUACUCACUUAGCAAUAGCUAGGGCUUUAUUAUCUUUAUCUCCCCUAUAGAAACCCUAGCGUUGAAACUCCCAUCCCCAACAAUAACAAUCACCAUCAGUAUUGGAUCUGCCAUCACCGAUCCGCUGCUGUUGCCCGUCGCGCAGCACCUCCUUUUGCUGCAGAACCACCACCUCAGUGUCGGCGAUGGCAGAUCUUGAAGGAUGACCAAACCCUAGAGAGCUAUAGGGUUUGUUCUGUUUCCAGAGGCUACCCUUCCUCUAAGAGUUAUACAACCUAACUUUAUAGCUGCUAUUGAAAGAGCUUUGUGCCAAGUUGAUACUCCUUAUACCAUCGGCGUGGUUCAUAGGAUCCUGAUAAUGGGAGGAUGAGGUUUGCAAUCGUUGGGACGACUGUAGAGUAACGGUUUGAACACAACCGCUACAAUAAACCAAGCAAAAUAAAGGCGCCAAACAAAUUCUAAUUUCGCGCUUAUCAAUUUUUUAUUUUUUUUGGUGAAUAACAUAUCAAAAUCAGUCCCAAAGAAACCCUUCAACUCCUUGAUUUCAAUUUUGUGCCCUAAUUUAUCAACACGUCUUUCACGAAGUAUCUCGUUCAUCCUCCACCGAUGUAUUGACGACAUCAAGCUACAGCACCACUAUGAUUUCAAGAUGGAUCAAAUGGCAUUCACCAGGCUUCUCCACAAACACAUCAGAGAUCCUCUUUUGGAAGUUAUGAAAUGCAACCUUUUAAUUGGGGUAAGUAUUUCACUUAUAUAUAUUUUUUAUGGAAUAGAAAAAUCAAUAUUUUCCUCUUUUUUAAUGUCAUUUUCAUGUUUCAAGUAAGUCAUCAUUACAAAUUUUAAUAUCAACAUCAAAUUCUAAUAUGAAAUCAAAAAAUAGACCCUUGGAUGUUUUUGUUGGUUAGUUGAUUAGUGGCUGCUACAAACCCAAUCUUUGGCAUUGUUUGCAUGAAGCGGCUGCCCUCAGAUUAAAAUCUGCAAUCCAAGCAUUUACCAUUCCACAAAGCAAUUUUCCAUAUAUAUGGUAUCUACGUAUGUGUAUACAAACAGUGUAAAAGCAUACAUACCUGUAUACAAGCAGUGUAAAAGCAUACAUGAAUGAAAUGGUAGGUCUAUCCCA
This is a non-coding RNA of Camellia sinensis, 1177 nucleotides long. The record is from RefSeq and is a predicted model, not a curated record. NCBI's taxonomy places the organism in Eukaryota, Viridiplantae, Streptophyta, Magnoliopsida, Ericales, Theaceae.